CUCUGCGUGCCUCAGCUUCCUGAGCCAUCAACUGGAUCUCGUUUUGAUACCAGGUCUUACAGAGCGGUGUCGAGGUUCCCAGGCAAUGACCCUGCCGUCCCAUGAGUGCUUAGAUCCACAGUGCCCUCACUGUCCCUCCGCUGGUCCGAGACUGGCCAGGACUCUGUCCUGUGGUGAACAGAAACAUCGCGGGUGCCCACCGGCCUUCCAGGGUCUCGUGGGGAGGGAGGCAGCUCCCUGCUUCAGGCUCGGGUGAGCUGUGGCAGGGAAGGGACACGUGGGGGAAGUCAGAAGCACACAGAGCUCAGUUUGAAUCCUGAUGUCACCUGUGGGCGGGGUGGUAGCCUUGCUUUCCCCCUCUGCAGGUGUGAGAGGCCACCAUCACCGCUGGCUUCUCUGCAGCUGCCCCAGGACCCCCACCCCCUUUCUUCUCUGCUGUGCCCCAGCCAUGAACCCCAGGAAUAAACAGGAGCUUCUGCGUGCUCCCGGCCCC
RNAcentral lists this long non-coding RNA (493 nucleotides) under Fukomys damarensis (Damara mole-rat). Its description in RNAcentral is "lncRNA (ENSFDAG00000030726.1)". The record is from RNAcentral. Lineage: Eukaryota; Metazoa; Chordata; Mammalia; Rodentia; Bathyergidae.